This 93-nucleotide transfer RNA is filed under the name Catellatospora methionotrophica. RNAcentral describes it as "tRNA-Ala". The record is from RNAcentral. Lineage: Bacteria; Bacillati; Actinomycetota; Actinomycetes; Micromonosporales; Micromonosporaceae.
GUCAGGAUGUAGCCGCUGGAGUUGCGGUAGUCGGCGCUCGCGUUGCCGAUGACGGUGCCGACGCCGUCGCGGGUCGCGUCGGCGGUCUUCAUA